Toxotes jaculatrix (banded archerfish) is the source of this 612-nucleotide long non-coding RNA. RefSeq lists it as uncharacterized. NCBI's taxonomy places the organism in Eukaryota, Metazoa, Chordata, Actinopteri, Toxotidae. The transcript has 6 exons. The record is from RefSeq and is a predicted model, not a curated record.
CUCUUCCUUUCCAAGUCUUCCAUGAGACGCAGAGCAGUCCGACAUUUGAUUUAGGUCGAACCAGUGAUGGCUCUGUCUAGCCUCUCCAGCAAUGGACGCCUGCAGAGAAUGCAGGUAUUGGGUACUGAAAGGGUGACGACAUGAAAACGACAUGAAAACCAGAUCAUGUGGAGGUGAUCCUAAUGGCUGACCAGAAAGUGACUGGGUGAGGAGAGCUCAUGUAGAGGUUUCACUCUGGACUCAUGAUCUAGUCAGGUGUCCUCAGGCUGUGCUGGCUCUUUAACCUUCCUGGUUUGCCAAGGCACAGUGACAUGGUGAGCUGUACAAAGUGGAACGGUGGGAAUCAUAACAUGUCUGGGUGGACAGCUGCAGGCCAUCCAUGAAAUACUGAACUGGAAUUGUUUGCUCACAUUAGGUGUUUCUGAAUUUAUCAAAGCUCGACAGCAUGAACAUGUUCUGAUGGUGUGACUUUAACUGCGCCUUUUAGUAAACUGUCCAAACUUUCCUGAAGUUUUCAAUGUGAAAACUGACAGAAAAUAGUUGAAUGUUCAAAUUUCUUGUAAUAACUGAUUGAAACUUGUCAUUGACUGUAAUAAAACAAAUUGUCAACUA